AAGGGUAUAGCUCAAGUGGUAGAGCACAUGCUUAUUAGCAUGUACAAGAUCCUGGGUUCAAUUCCCAGUACCUCCU
Molecule: transfer RNA, 76 nt
Filed under: Camelus bactrianus (Bactrian camel)
Lineage: Eukaryota; Metazoa; Chordata; Mammalia; Artiodactyla; Camelidae
Also listed under: 2 other names
Rfam family: tRNA
About the family: Transfer RNA (tRNA) molecules are approximately 80 nucleotides in length. Their secondary structure includes four short double-helical elements and three loops (D, anti-codon, and T loops).
Source: Rfam by way of RNAcentral